AUUUAACAAAAAAAAAAAAAGUUAAGGUGCGUCACUAUUUAAAUUGUGAUGCGAUGAUUUUGUAUUAUAAGACGUGAUAAAUUAUUUAUUUUUUAUUUUUAUUUUUGAUAAAUGAGACUUUAUCCAUGCAUCUUUAUUGAUAGAUUAUUUAUUUUUUUAUUUUUAUUUUUGAUAAAUGAGAUCUUAUCCAUACAUCUCAGUAUUUUUAUUUUUAUUUUUAUUUUUAUUGAUACAGAU
RNAcentral lists this long non-coding RNA (237 nucleotides) under Elaeis guineensis (African oil palm). RNAcentral's name for it is "long non-coding RNA (EGUI_LNC065141)". Lineage: Eukaryota; Viridiplantae; Streptophyta; Magnoliopsida; Arecales; Arecaceae. The record is from RNAcentral.